RNAcentral lists this ribosomal RNA (328 nucleotides) under uncultured eukaryote. RNAcentral's name for it is "partial 18S ribosomal RNA". It matches the Rfam family "Eukaryotic small subunit ribosomal RNA", at positions 1470 to 1796 of the family's 1831-position model. The record is from RNAcentral.
CCCUUAGAUGUCCUGGGCCGCACGCGCGCUACACUGAUGCAUGCAACGAGUUUAUAACCUUGGCCUGAAAGGUCUGGGUAAUCUUUUGAACGUGCAUCGUGAUAGGGAUAGAUUAUUGCAAUUGUUAAUCUUGAACGAGGAAUUCCUAGUAAACGCGAGUCAUCAGCUCGCAUUGAUUACGUCCCUGCCCUUUGUACACACCGCCCGUCGCACCUACCAAUUGAAUGGUUCGGUGAAGAUCUCGGACUUCGAUAUUUAUUCUUUAUUGAGUUUAUAUUGUGGGAAGUUAUCUAAACCUCAUCAUUUAGAGGAAGGUGAAGUCGUAACA